GCGGUUUUAGCUCAGCUGGAUAGAGCAACUGCCUUCUAAGCAGUAGGCCGGGGGUUCGAGUCCCUUAAACCGCGCCA
Molecule: transfer RNA, 77 nt
Filed under: Clostridiaceae bacterium
Lineage: Bacteria; Bacillati; Bacillota; Clostridia; Eubacteriales; Clostridiaceae
Also listed under: 2 other names
Description: tRNA-Arg
Rfam family: tRNA
About the family: Transfer RNA (tRNA) molecules are approximately 80 nucleotides in length. Their secondary structure includes four short double-helical elements and three loops (D, anti-codon, and T loops).
Source: RNAcentral